AGAGCGCGUGUGGCCGCCGAGCACAUGGACCCACUGGUCAAGCGGGCUCGGCAAGGCCAGGAUGAAGAGAAGCUACGAACUUAGCAUUCCCAGAGCCCCCCGAGUGGAUAUCCGCGUGGAAAGGAUGUUGGCAGCCCCGGUGACCUCGGAGUCACGGCUGGAUCCACCCUCUUGACACUUGUGCACAGCCAGCCUGCCAUACCGGGUUGGCAGAUGGCCUGAUGAAGAGAGGGCUCUUGGGCUUUGCCAUCCGUACUGCCCCCGAAGCUAUUAUGAGAAUGGAUCGCUGUGAAGAGCAGUAGAGCCGAGUUCUGUCACCACAGACAUUGGCAGUGGCACUUGCAUGCCCCUGGCAAGCAGUCUAUCCUGAGGUGGAGGAAGUUGCCCUUGAGUUCUGGCUGGUAACCAGCACAGGGGCUGGGACACUGCCUGAUUGAGGUGGCCAUUGAGAAUUCAAGUGUACCUCUUGGUCCCUGAUGCAGAAAUGAAGUCCCCAGCAUGCUCAAGAAGAGCUUCCUUGGAGGAUGAGAGGCAUGGGAAUCUAAGUAUACCCUUUAAGCGUUCCAGAAGGAUUUUGAGAUCCUUUCCUAAAUCAAAGGUGGAAUAUUUGGGGAUUUGGAAAAUUGAGAUGUGAAGCGUUGACUUAAGAGAUGCCAAGUAACUCAGCAGAUGUCACACAGACGAUAAAUAGCAAAGAUGGAAGUCUUCAUGCCGGAGGCAAUCCUAUAAGACAGCUGAGUUCUGCAGAGCUGGUAGGAGACAGACUUGCUCAGGUGAUAGAUCCAGCCAUGAUACUGACCCUAAGAGAAUGAGACGCUCUGCAGAAGACAGAAGAUUCCUGAAACUGGGAAAGGUGCCUAGAAAUCCUGAUAAGAGUGAAGAAGGAGCUGGCAGAGCAGCCUUCCUCCGCACUAUGAAAGACAUCCAACAGAGAGCAAGUUCCCACCUCACUUCCAGCUUGACUCCUUUUUAUCUCCUAACUGUGGUCUGUGAUGUCUUCAGCAAUGGGUACCUGGAGGCACAGCAGCCAUGUUGAACCUAUGAGGUGAUGAAAAACCAUGCAACUAGAAACCAGAAUGGAAGAAAAGAAGAAGCUGGAUCCUUGACUGAAUUGUCGAUGGGGGAUAGUCCAUCAUCCCAGGGCUAAGACCACCUCCAGAUUUCUUGUUUGGUGAAACAAGUCCUGAUUGUUUACAUUCCCUCGUGUUGAGCUGUCUCUUGCUUGUAGCUGAAAGCAUUUCUAAUAGAUAUUCAGAUUAUCAGCCUUAGCUCCAAGCUAGAAUACUCUAUGGGACCUUAGCUUCUCCAUGAAUUCCUUUGCUCAUCUGUGUAAUGCUCAAUAAAUGUAAAUUGAACCCU
Molecule: long non-coding RNA, 1359 nt
Filed under: Mus musculus (house mouse)
Lineage: Eukaryota; Metazoa; Chordata; Mammalia; Rodentia; Muridae
Description: Pvt1 oncogene
Rfam family: Pvt1 oncogene conserved region 1 (bases 17-173)
Source: RNAcentral